This 194-nucleotide ribosomal RNA is filed under the name uncultured Spirochaetaceae bacterium. RNAcentral describes it as "partial 16S ribosomal RNA". It matches the Rfam family "Bacterial small subunit ribosomal RNA", at positions 338 to 524 of the family's 1533-position model. The record is from RNAcentral. Lineage: Bacteria; Pseudomonadati; Spirochaetota; Spirochaetia; Spirochaetales; Spirochaetaceae.
CCUACGGGAGGCAGCAGCUAAGAAUAUUCCGCAAUGGACGAAAGUCUGACGGAGCGACGGCGCGUGGAUGACGAAGGCCGAAAGGUUGUAAAGUCCUUUUGUUGGGGAAGAAUAAGGCUGGGAGGGAAUGCCCGGCUGAUGACAUGAACCGACGAAUAAGCCCCGGCUAACUACGUGCCAGCAGCCGCGGUAAU